UCCGGGCGGCAGCUAACACAUGCAAGUCGAACGGUAGCACAGAGAGCUUGCUCUCGGGUGACGAGUGGCGGACGGGUGAGUAAUGUCUGGGAAACUGCCCGAUGGAGGGGGAUAACUACUGGAAACGGUAGCUAAUACCGCAUAACGUCGCAAGACCAAAGUGGGGGACCUUCGGGCCUCACACCAUCGGAUGUGCCCAGAUGGGAUUAGCUAGUAGGUGGGGUAAUGGCUCACCUAGGCGACGAUCCCUAGCUGGUCUGAGAGGAUGACCAGCCACACUGGAACUGAGACACGGUCCAGACUCCUACGGGAGGCAGCAGUGGGGAAUAUUGCACAAUGGGCGCAAGCCUGAUGCAGCCAUGCCGCGUGUAUGAAGAAGGCCUUCGGGUUGUAAAGUACUUUCAGCGGGGAGGAAGGCGGUGGAGUUAAUAGCUUCACCGAUUGACGUUACCCGCAGAAGAAGCACCGGCUAACUCCGUGCCAGCAGCCGCGGUAAUACGGAGGGUGCAAGCGUUAAUCGGAAUUACUGGGCGUAAAGCGCACGCAGGCGGUCUGUCAAGUCGGAUGUGAAAUCCCCGGGCUUAACCUGGGAACUGCAUUCGAAACUGGCAGGCUAGAGUCUUGUAGAGGGGGGUAGAAUUCCAGGUGUAGCGGUGAAAUGCGUAGAGAUCUGGAGGAAUACCGGUGGCGAAGGCGGCCCCCUGGACAAAGACUGACGCUCAGGUGCGAAAGCGUGGGGAGCAAACAGGAUUAGAUACCCUGGUAGUCCACGCCGUAAACGAUGUCGACUUGGAGGUUGUUCCCUUGAGGAGUGGCUUCCGGAGCUAACGCGUUAAGUCGACCGCCUGGGGAGUACGGCCGCAAGGUUAAAACUCAAAUGAAUUGACGGGGGCCCGCACAAGCGGUGGAGCAUGUGGUUUAAUUCGAUGCAACGCGAAGAACCUUACCUACUCUUGACAUCCAGAGAACUUAGCAGAGAUGCUUUGGUGCCUUCGGGAACUCUGAGACAGGUGCUGCAUGGCUGUCGUCAGCUCGUGUUGUGAAAUGUUGGGUUAAGUCCCGCAACGAGCGCAACCCUUAUCCUUUGUUGCCAGCGGUCCGGCCGGGAACUCAAAGGAGACUGCCAG
RNAcentral lists this ribosomal RNA (1127 nucleotides) under Kluyvera cryocrescens. RNAcentral describes it as "bacterial SSU rRNA". It matches the Rfam family "Bacterial small subunit ribosomal RNA", at positions 37 to 1155 of the family's 1533-position model. The record is from RNAcentral. Lineage: Bacteria; Pseudomonadati; Pseudomonadota; Gammaproteobacteria; Enterobacterales; Enterobacteriaceae.